UUUUCUAUUUCUUAAACAGGGAACUUAAACAUUAAGUUAAACCUAUUCCAAAUACAUUUUCAAACUAUUCAAAUGAUGAAAGUUAUUGUUGUUUUUUGAGCGUUUAUUAGCGAGUGGGAACUACCAACAUGGCCGCCAUCUCUUCAAAUGGAGGUAAGCGCUGGAAUAUUCUUGGCUGAAUUCAAUUUUACUAAAAGAAAUGCGCUAUCUAGUGUAUAUAAGAUAUCUAUGGGGACGCCAAGGAGGGAAUGAUGUCUGAAGUUCAGUAAGUUUUGCUUCUAUUGCUGUAGAAAUAUGCUGCGCCAAUUUUACAGCAUCAAUAAUAAUUGAAUUUAAAUAUAUAAUAGUUUUGUUUGUGCAAACACAAUGUACGUAAAUUUAUUACUGCAUUUAAAUAAUUGGCAAUAUUUAACUAUUAUUUCGUGUUUCUCAACCGCCAGAUACAUUUAAAAAGGUUGCUAAACUACAACUUUAACACUUUUGAUUGCAAAUACGCCAGAUUGAAAAAAUUGCCUUUUACUUAGAAAAUAUAUAAUUGUAUUUUAUGUAUAUAAAACCACAAAUAUUUCUAUUCGGAAAACACACCAACUGUCCAAAUCUUUCAGUACAUAUAAAACUACGUAUAAAAACUACCUAUGUAAGUUAUUGCAUAUAACAGUUCGUUUUAACUUCUGUUUAGGAAACGUGGCUGACAUAUAACGUAGCAGCCAUUUCAUUUAUAUUGGACUUAUAGUCCAUAAUGUACGAUUUACAAUCAUUUCAAGUUAGUCCGUUCGAUUCAAUGUCAUAUUCUUCGUUUGAAGAAAUUUAGUUUAAGAGAUUAUUACGAAAUCACUAUAAAAUAGCUGUUUAUAACUUCAAUGGUUAUGGAGCGGUCACUAUAA
Non-coding RNA from Paramuricea clavata, 884 nucleotides. The record is from the annotation of a GenBank genome assembly. Lineage: Eukaryota; Metazoa; Cnidaria; Anthozoa; Malacalcyonacea; Plexauridae.